GGAAGAGCCCAAACCAACAAGCUUGCUUGUUGGGGUUGUAGGACACUCUAUACGGAGUUACAAAGGACGACAUUAGACGAAUCAUCUGGAAAGAUGAAUCAAAGAAGGUAAUAAUCCUGUAGUCGAAAAUGUUGUCUCUCUUGAGUGGAUCCUGAGUACGACGGAGCACGUGAAAUUCCGUCGGAAUCUGGGAGGACCAUCUCCUAAGGCUAAAUACUCUCUAGUGACCGAUAGUGAACCAGUACCGUGAGGGAAAGGUGAAAAGCACCCCGGAAGGGGAGUGAAAUAGAACCUGAAACCGUGUGCUUACAAGUAGUCAGAGCCCGUUAAUGGGUGAUGGCGUGCCUUUUGUAGAAUGAACCGGCGAGUUACGAUUUGAUGCAAGGUUAAGCAGUAAAUGUGGAGCCGUAGCGAAAGCGAGUCUGAAUAGGGCGUUUAGUAUUUGGUCGUAGACCCGAAACCAGGUGAUCUACCCUUGGUCAGGUUGAAGUUCAGGUAACACUGAAUGGAGGACCGAACCGACUUACGUUGAAAAGUGAGCGGAUGAACUGAGGGUAGCGGAGAAAUUCCAAUCGAACCUGGAGAUAGCUGGUUCUCUCCGAAAUAGCUUUAGGGCUAGCCUCAAGUGAUGAUUAUUGGAGGUAGAGCACUGUUUGGACGAGGGGCCCCUCUCGGGUUACCGAAUUCAGACAAACUCCGAAUGCCAAUUAAUUUAACUUGGGAGUCAGAACAUGGGUGAUAAGGUCCGUGUUCGAAAGGGAAACAGCCCAGACCACCAGCUAAGGUCCCAAAAUAUAUGUUAAGUGGAAAAGGAUGUGGCGUUGCCCAGACAACUAGGAUGUUGGCUUAGAAGCAGCCAUCAUUUAAAGAGUGCGUAAUAGCUCACUAGUCGAGUGACACUGCGCCGAAAAUGUACCGGGGCUAAACAUAUUACCGAAGCUGUGGAUUGUCCUUUGGACAAUGGUAGGAGAGCGUUCUAAGGGCGUUGAAGCAUGAUCGUAAGGACAUGUGGAGCGCUUAGAAGUGAGAAUGCCGGUGUGAGUAGCGAAAGACGGGUGAGAAUCCCGUCCACCGAUUGACUAAGGUUUCCAGAGGAAGGCUCGUCCGCUCUGGGUUAGUCGGGUCCUAAGCUGAGGCCGACAGGCGUAGGCGAUGGAUAACAGGUUGAUAUUCCUGUACCACCUAUAAUCGUUUUAAUCGAUGGGGGGACGCAGUAGGAUAGGCGAAGCGUGCGAUUGGAUUGCACGUCUAAGCAGUAAGGCUGAGUAUUAGGCAAAUCCGGUACUCGUUAAGGCUGAGCUGUGAUGGGGAGAAGACAUUGUGUCUUCGAGUCGUUGAUUUCACACUGCCGAGAAAAGCCUCUAGAUAGAAAAUAGGUGCCCGUACCGCAAACCGACACAGGUAGUCAAGAUGAGAAUUCUAAGGUGAGCGAGCGAACUCUCGUUAAGGAACUCGGCAAAAUGACCCCGUAACUUCGGGAGAAGGGGUGCUCUUUAGGGUUAACGCCCAGAAGAGCCGCAGUGAAUAGGCCCAAGCGACUGUUUAUCAAAAACACAGGUCUCUGCUAAACCGUAAGGUGAUGUAUAGGGGCUGACGCCUGCCCGGUGCUGGAAGGUUAAGAGGAGUGGUUAGCUUCUGCGAAGCUACGAAUCGAAGCCCCAGUAAACGGCGGCCGUAACUAUAACGGUCCUAAGGUAGCGAAAUUCCUUGUCGGGUAAGUUCCGACCCGCACGAAAGGCGUAACGAUUUGGGCACUGUCUCAACGAGAGACUCGGUGAAAUCAUAGUACCUGUGAAGAUGCAGGUUACCCGCGACAGGACGGAAAGACCCCGUGGAGCUUUACUGUAGCCUGAUAUUGAAAUUCGGCACAGCUUGUACAGGAUAGGUAGGAGCCUUUGAAACGUGAGCGCUAGCUUACGUGGAGGCGCUGGUGGGAUACUACCCUAGCUGUGUUGGCUUUCUAACCCGCACCACUUAUCGUGGUGGGAGACAGUGUCAGGCGGGCAGUUUGACUGGGGCGGUCGCCUCCUAAAAGGUAACGGAGGCGCUCAAAGGUUCCCUCAGAAUGGUUGGAAAUCAUUCAUAGAGUGUAAAGGCAUAAGGGAGCUUGACUGCGAGACCUACAAGUCGAGCAGGGUCGAAAGACGGACUUAGUGAUCCGGUGGUUCCGCAUGGAAGGGCCAUCGCUCAACGGAUAAAAGCUACCCCGGGGAUAACAGGCUUAUCUCCCCCAAGAGUUCACAUCGACGGGGAGGUUUGGCACCUCGAUGUCGGCUCAUCGCAUCCUGGGGCUGUAGUCGGUCCCAAGGGUUGGGCUGUUCGCCCAUUAAAGCGGUACGCGAGCUGGGUUCAGAACGUCGUGAGACAGUUCGGUCCCUAUCCGUCGUGGGCGUAGGAAAUUUGAGAGGAGCUGUCCUUAGUACGAGAGGACCGGGAUGGACAUACCUCUGGUGUACCAGUUGUCGUGCCAACGGCAUAGCUGGGUAGCUAUGUGUGGACGGGAUAAGUGCUGAAAGCAUCUAAGCAUGAAGCCCCCCUCAAGAUGAGAUUUCCCAACUUCGGUUAUAAGAUCCCUCAAAGAUGAUGAGGUUAAUAGGUUCGAGGUGGAAGCAUGGUGACAUGUGGAGCUGACGAAUACUAAUCGAUCGAAGACUUAAUC
RNAcentral lists this ribosomal RNA (2659 nucleotides) under Staphylococcus aureus. RNAcentral describes it as "23S ribosomal RNA". It matches the Rfam family "Bacterial large subunit ribosomal RNA". Lineage: Bacteria; Bacillati; Bacillota; Bacilli; Caryophanales; Staphylococcaceae. The record is from RNAcentral.